GACGAACGCUGGCGGCGUGCUUAACACAUGCAAGUCGAACGGUGAAGCGCCUUCCUUUUUGGUGGGUGUGGAUGAGUGGCGAACGGGUGAGUAACACGUGAGUAACCUGCCCCCUUCUUCUGGAUAACCGCAUGAAAGUGUGGCUAAUACGGGAUAUUCUGGGUCUGUCGCAUGAUGGGUCUGGGAAAGAUAUUGUUUCGGUGGGGGAUGGGCUCGCGGCCUAUCAGCUUGUUGGUGGGGUGAUGGCCUACCAAGGCGGUGACGGGUAGCCGGCCUGAGAGGGUGGACGGUCACACUGGGACGGAGACACGGAGCAGACUCCUACGGGAGGCAGCAGGGGAGAAUAUUGCACAAUGGGCGGAAGCCUGAUGCAGCGACGCCGCGUGAGUGAUGGAGGCCUUCGGGUUGUGAACCUCUUUCGCCAGUGAAGCAGGCCUGCCUCGUUUGUGGGUGGGUUGACGGUAGCUGGAUAAGAAGCGCCGGCUAACUACGUG
Molecule: ribosomal RNA, 494 nt
Filed under: uncultured bacterium
Lineage: Bacteria
Description: partial 16S ribosomal RNA
Rfam family: Bacterial small subunit ribosomal RNA
Source: RNAcentral